GCCUAAUACAUGCAAGUCGAGCGGACCGACGGGAGCUUGCUCCCUUAGGUCAGCGGCGGACGGGUGAGUAACACGUGGGUAACCUGCCUGUAAGACUGGGAUAACUCCGGGAAACCGGGGCUAAUACCGGAUGCUUGAUUGAACCGCAUGGUUCAAUCAUAAAAGGUGGCUUUUAGCUACCACUUGCAGAUGGACCCGCGGCGCAUUAGCUAGUUGGUGAGGUAACGGCUCACCAAGGCGACGAUGCGUAGCCGACCUGAGAGGGUGAUCGGCCACACUGGGACUGAGACACGGCCCAGACUCCUACGGGAGGCAGCAGUAGGGAAUCUUCCGCAAUGGACGAAAGUCUGACGGAGCAACGCCGCGUGAGUGAUGAAGGUUUUCGGAUCGUAAAACUCUGUUGUUAGGGAAGAACAAGUACCGUUCGAAUAGGGCGGUACCUUGACGGUACCUAACCAGAAAGCCACGGCUAACUACGUGCCAGCAGCCGCGGUAAUACGUAGGUGGCAAGCGUUGUCCGGAAUUAUUGGGCGUAAAGCGCGCGCAGGCGGUUUCUUAAGUCUGAUGUGAAAGCCCCCGGCUCAACCGGGGAGGGUCAUUGGAAACUGGGGAACUUGAGUGCAGAAGAGGAGAGUGGAAUUCCACGUGUAGCGGUGAAAUGCGUCGCGAUGUGGAGGAACACCAGUGGCGAAGGCGACUCUCUGGUCUGUAACUGACGCUGAGG
RNAcentral lists this ribosomal RNA (724 nucleotides) under uncultured Bacilli bacterium. RNAcentral's name for it is "bacterial SSU rRNA". It matches the Rfam family "Bacterial small subunit ribosomal RNA", at positions 46 to 751 of the family's 1533-position model. Lineage: Bacteria; Bacillati; Bacillota; Bacilli. The record is from RNAcentral.